This is an unclassified non-coding RNA of Cricetulus griseus (Chinese hamster), 182 nucleotides long. The record is from Ensembl. NCBI's taxonomy places the organism in Eukaryota, Metazoa, Chordata, Mammalia, Rodentia, Cricetidae.
AAGACUUUAGGUAAGAUAAAAUUUUCUGUUUAUGUACAGUCCAGAUACAUAGGGGGAGGGCCCAGUGCUUUCAAGCUCCCACACACAGCACCGCCCAUCUACCUAAACUCUGAUUUGAAAGGACCACUAACUUCUGGGGUGAGAGAAACAGCCUAUCCUUUCCUCUUCAUUCCAUUGCAAAC